GACGGGGGGGGCAAGUGUUCUUCGGAAUGACUGGGCGUAAAGGGCACGUAGGCGGUGAAUCGGGUUGAAAGUGAAAGUCGCCAAAAAGUGGCGGAAUGCUCUCGAAACCAAUUCACUUGAGUGAGACAGAGGAGAGUGGAAUUUCGUGUGUAGGGGUGAAAUCCGUAAAUAUACGAAGGAACGCCAAAAGCGAAGGCAGCUCUCUGGGUCCCUACCGACGCUGAGACGCGAAAGCGUGGGGAGCAAACAGG
This 251-nucleotide ribosomal RNA is filed under the name uncultured bacterium. RNAcentral describes it as "partial 16S ribosomal RNA". It matches the Rfam family "Bacterial small subunit ribosomal RNA", at positions 524 to 776 of the family's 1533-position model. The record is from RNAcentral.